Molecule: ribosomal RNA, 524 nt
Filed under: uncultured bacterium
Lineage: Bacteria
Description: bacterial SSU rRNA
Rfam family: Bacterial small subunit ribosomal RNA
Source: RNAcentral
UGGGGAAUCUUUGGACAAUGGGCGCAAGCCUGAUCCAGCCAUGCCGCGUGAGCGAUGAAGGCCUUAGGGUUGUAAAGCUCUUUCACCGUGAAGAUAAUGACGGUAGCCGGAGAAGAAGCCCCGGCUAACUCCGUGCCAGCAGCCGCGGUAAUACGGAGGGGGCUAGCGUUGUUCGGAAUUACUGGGCGUAAAGCGCGCGUAGGCGGACUGAUCAGUCAGGGGUGAAAUCCCGGGGCUCAACCCCGGAACUGCCUUUGAUACUGUCAGUCUUGAGUCCGGAAGAGGCGAGUGGAAUAGCCGAGUGUAGAGGUGAAAUUCGUAGAUAUUCGGUGGAACACCAGUGGCGAAGGCGACUCGCUGGUCCGGUACUGACGCUGAGGUGCGAAAGCGUGGGGAGCAAAACAGGAUUCAGAUACCCUGGUAGUCCACGCCGUAAACGAUGAGUGCUAGUCGUCGGCAGGCAUGCCUGUCGGUGACGCAGCUAACGCAUUAAGCACUCCGCCUGGGAGUACGGCCGCAAGGUU